GAAUAGCUGGGUGAACAGCCAAGGGAGAAAGGGAAGGGAUGGUUUCUAUCAUUGGAUUGAACUGUAAAGGAGCUGCAGGGUGACAGAUGUUGGCAGGAAUUCCAGUAGAGUUUGUGUGUACAGUGACUCCCUAGCAGAGCUGACACCUGCACAGGCUAGGUGUACACCCUAGCAGAAGGAAAGGUGGGGCAUUUGCCAGAGGUACAUACCAAGGCAUUUGUAAAGUUGAGGCUGCUGGUAAAGUUCCAAGAAGCCCUUUUUAAGGCUGAGUAGAGGGAGGAGAAGCCAAGGGCAACCCAAGGCCAUCUCACCACUACUCCGAGGAAUGGUCCAUGGAGACAACAGAUUCAAGAGCACAUAUAAUGCAAGUUCCUUGAUUCAUGCUGUCUAUUGGCUGGGAACUUUGAGCUCUUCCUUGGAGGAGGGAGGGUGAUCAGGUUGUCUGUGUUUUGUUGGGAGGCCAUAUUAUUGCUGAAGGGAUUGAAGAAUUUUC
This 493-nucleotide non-coding RNA is filed under the name Pan troglodytes (chimpanzee). Lineage: Eukaryota; Metazoa; Chordata; Mammalia; Primates; Hominidae. The record is from RNAcentral.